This 207-nucleotide unclassified non-coding RNA is filed under the name soil metagenome. Its description in RNAcentral is "partial contains 5.8S ribosomal RNA, internal transcribed spacer 2, and large subunit ribosomal RNA". The record is from RNAcentral.
AACCAUAGAAACCUGCGGAGUACCUGCGGAAGGAUCAUUACCGAGUUUACAACUCCCAAACCCCUGUGAACAUACCACUUGUUGCCUCGGCGGAUCAGCCCGCUCCCGGUAAAACGGGACGGCCCGCCAGAGGACCCCUAAACUCUGUUUCUAUAUGUAACUUCUGAGUAAAACCAUAAAUAAAUCAAAACUUUCAACAAUGGAUCU